RNAcentral lists this unclassified non-coding RNA (346 nucleotides) under soil metagenome. RNAcentral describes it as "partial contains 5.8S ribosomal RNA, internal transcribed spacer 2, and large subunit ribosomal RNA". The stretch from base 1 to 119 matches the Rfam family "5.8S ribosomal RNA", at positions 35 to 154 of the family's 154-position model. The record is from RNAcentral.
GAUGAAGAACGUAGCGAAAUGCGAUACGUAAUGUGAAUUGCAAAUUCAGUGAAUCAUCGAGUCUUUGAACGCACAUUGCGCCCCCUGGUAUUCCGGGGGGCAUGCCUGUCCGAGCGUCAUUGCUGCCCUCAAGCACGGCUUGUGUGUUGGGCCCCGUCCUCCGAUCCCGGGGGACGGGCCCGAAAGGCAGCGGCGGCACCGCGUCCGGUCCUCGAGCGUAUGGGGCUUUGUCACCCGCUCUGUAGGCCCGGCCGGCGCUUGCCGAUCAACCCAAAUUUUUUAUCCAGGUUGACCUCGGAUCAGGUAGGGAUACCCGCUGAACUUAAGCAUAUCAAUAACCGGAGGA